UUUGACCUCAAAUCAGGUAGGACUACCCGCUGAACUUAAGCAUAUCAAUAAGCGGAGGAAAAGAAACUAACAAGGAUUCCCCUAGUAACUGCGAGUGAAGCGGGAAAAGCUCAAAUUUGAAAUCUGGCAGUCUUUUUUUUCUUCUUUGGCUGUCCGAGUUGUAAUCUAGAGAAGUGCUUACCUGCACUGGACCAUGUAUAAGUCUCCUGGAAUGGAGCGUCGCAGAGGGUGAGAAUCCCGUCUUUGACAUGGACUGCCAGUGUGUUGUGGUGUGCUCUCAAAGAGUCGAGUUGUUUGGGAAUGCAGCUCUAAAUGGGUGGUAAACUCCAUCUAAAGCUAAAUAUUGGCGAGAGACCGAUAGCGACAG
Molecule: ribosomal RNA, 367 nt
Filed under: Amanita sp. 'ITAL01'
Lineage: Eukaryota; Fungi; Basidiomycota; Agaricomycetes; Agaricales; Amanitaceae
Description: Amanita sp. 'sp-ITAL01' partial 28S ribosomal RNA
Rfam family: Eukaryotic large subunit ribosomal RNA
Source: RNAcentral